Molecule: ribosomal RNA, 253 nt
Filed under: uncultured bacterium
Lineage: Bacteria
Description: partial 16S ribosomal RNA
Rfam family: Bacterial small subunit ribosomal RNA
Source: RNAcentral
UACGUAGGGUGCAAGCGUUAAUCGGAAUUACUGGGCGUAAAGCGUGCGCAGGCGGUUGUGUAAGACAGAUGUGAAAUCCCCGGGCUCAACCUGGGAACUGCAUUUGUGACUGCACGGCUGGAGUGCGGCAGAGGGGGAUGGAAUUCCGCGUGUAGCAGUGAAAUGCGUAGAUAUGCGGAGGAACACCGAUGGCGAAGGCAAUCCCCUGGGACGGCACUGACGCUCAGGCACGAAAGCGUGGGGAGCAAACAGG